Molecule: long non-coding RNA, 2265 nt
Filed under: Solanum tuberosum (potato)
Lineage: Eukaryota; Viridiplantae; Streptophyta; Magnoliopsida; Solanales; Solanaceae
Description: long non-coding RNA (STUB_LNC006954)
Source: RNAcentral
CCAUAAACUAUAUUCAAAUUUCAAUUUCUUCCUUUAGAGUUUGAAUAAUGCUAUAAUCACCCUUUUAUGAGUUUCUUGAACUUAGUGAUUCUUUGACUCGACGUGGUGAGAAAGUCAUCAGUUCGAACCUGACCUAAUUAAACUCAAUGUGAGAACGGAUUAGACAUGAAUAGGUAAAAAUAGUUCCUAUGUGCUAUUAAAGGAAAUAAGAAAUUAAUUUUAUCGAAUUCUUUCAGGUUCAAAACAAAAUUUGUUUAAGAUUUUGAUGCAUACUUUAAGAAAAACAUUAGCAUUUAUUAUAAGAAUUGUCUGGCUAAUUAAUAUUUUCUUAAUUUUUUAAAAUAAUAUUUAUUCUGGACUAACUUAACUUGGAGAACAACACUUAUUAUAGACCAGAUGAAUAAUAAUAAUAAUAAUAAUUAUUAUUAUUAUUAUUUGUCUCUUUAACUUUUUCUCCGUGGCUAUAAUAAAGGCUACUUGCAUGGAGUGGUUGGAGAAAGGCAAUAUUGGAGUUUUAUGAUAAACUUAUUAUAUUAUACAACCCAUUUAACAAAUUAGUGGAUUCAACAAGUUCAUUUGGCCCUAUCCAUUAAGGAUCGUUUGGUUUAAAGACGAAUUAUGCAUAUAUUAAUAAUGCAGAGAUUUUUUUUGUUGGAUGUUUAGUAUGUUAAUAUAUUAGAAAUUAAAAUACAAUGUGAUGUAAAUAUGUGUUUACUUUUUAAAACGAAAUAGAAGUCCGUUUACUACUAUGAGGGUUAGUUGUGUUAAUUUAUAGUUUUUUUUCCAUAUAAUAUAAAUAUUGAUGCUCUUCUUUUAUAUUUUGUUCAUUAUUACUCAUGUCAUGUUAUGUUUAGUUUGUACUAAUAUUUUCUAUUUGAGGGUGAUAUAUUUCUAAAAAUAUUACAACUAUGACAUAUUUCAUACAUAAAGGAACAAAAAAACAUUUUAACUAAUUAAAGUUAAAUGUAUUAAUUCUUAUAAUAUAAGGAUCAAAAUAUAUUUUUUCAAUAAUUGAGGGACCAAAAGUGUUAUUCUCUUCUUCUUUGAUGUACCUUUAUAACAAUAGUAAUAUUUUCAAUAUAAUUUCGCAAAUGAGGUUUGAAAUGGUGCGUACGCAACCUUACCUCCUUGUGAAGGUACGUAAAGUGGUUGUUUUCGAUAAACUCUCGGUUCAAGUACAGUAUGAUAAAAUCAAGUUUGAAAGGAAAAAUAUGAUAAUAACGAAGUCAUGUUGAACAUAAUAGAGAAGAGAAUAGUCGCAACAACACAUAAUUUUAUAUCAUAGUAAAAAUUAUUAAUAUUCACUUUUCUCUAGAGGUAUUCUCAAUCUCUAAUAUAUUAAUCUUAAUAGUUUCCCUCCAUCACUUUCAAAAGUUGCUUUCAAGAGCCAAAUGUGUAUAUAUAUAUUCAAUAUAAGAGGCUACCCUAUUGAAUUAAAGAAAAACAACAUCUAGGUAUACUAGCAAUUAAUUGUUAGAAGACUAAAAUUUCCCUUUGACAUCCAAAAAAAUGUAUGCUUUUUGCCUUUUGCAUAGUGGGAUUUUUAUUACAAAACACCAAAACUACAAGUAGCUAUCUUUUUGACUUCUUUGGAACAUCCCAUUUAAUUAUUUUUUGUGUGCAUAAUUUACAUCACAAUUAUGUAUACCCACAAAACUAUAUGGCAUACAUGCAUCAUAGUCAUUAUUGCAAAGUAAUAAAGAAAGACCUAACAUAUUAUCAGAUUUGUAGUUUCACAAUAAACGUUAAAUAAAAUAGAUAGUUCAUAUAACUAAAAAAUGUGAUGAAAUGAAUACAAUUAAAAAUCUAUAAUACAUUCAAAAAUAUUAUCUUCACCGACUUUGUAAGAUCUUACCUUCAUCACGAUAUUAGUGACUUAACUUCUCCGCUCUUUCCACACGAUCUUUUGAAUAAAGAGAGAAAGUAAGGAGCUAGGCGAGUGGGUAUAGAAGGUUGGUGAUCAUCCGCUAUGAAAAGCUAAGUUUUCGGUCUACCCCCUCCCCCUAUGUGAUUGGUCUUCUUAUCAAUCUUUCGCGAUCUUCAUCCAUGAAGGGUGAGUCAAGAUCGAGACUUCAGAUCAAAUCAAAAGGCAUAGUCAAUAAACAACAUGUUUAUAUACUAUAUUGUACUAUCCUUAAUCAGAAGUCUCAAUUCGAGCCUCUAAGUUGGAAUGGAAAAAAGCUUAUGUGAUACUAAUUUAAGUUAAUCAAAUCAAUGACCGCCGAAUAGUUAAUUUUGUCCUCUUUCUCUUAUUUUUCAGUAAUC